RNAcentral lists this transfer RNA (91 nucleotides) under Streptomyces brasiliensis. RNAcentral's name for it is "tRNA-Met". The record is from RNAcentral. Lineage: Bacteria; Bacillati; Actinomycetota; Actinomycetes; Kitasatosporales; Streptomycetaceae.
CGGUGCGCAGCGAGUGGGCGGCGUCGACGUACAUGUCGUCGUGGUAGACGGCCGCGGCGACCGGCACCUCGUUGGCGGCGAGCCGCGCCGG